This is a long non-coding RNA of Dioscorea cayenensis subsp. rotundata (Guinea yam), 586 nucleotides long. RefSeq lists it as uncharacterized. The transcript is spliced from 2 exons. The record is from RefSeq and is a predicted model, not a curated record. NCBI's taxonomy places the organism in Eukaryota, Viridiplantae, Streptophyta, Magnoliopsida, Dioscoreales, Dioscoreaceae.
CAAUCGUAUCCUAUCAAACCAAUGGCUUUUCUUAUCCUAUCAAAAUGCCUAGCCCUUAAACAGAAUUGAAACAGGGGUAUUUGCUUCAUUGCAAGUGGAAGUUUUCAUUGGGCUUAGAGCAAAUCAAACCCGGUAUACAAUUUUGCUCAAAAAUUUCCACUCUUUGGAAACCGCUGGCCAUGCUCAUCUCCAAAUCCUUUUAUCCAAGAAAAAGGAUGUGAAGAUUGAGAAAGAGAGGGAGAGUGAGAGAUCCGUGGUGAAGAGAUUUAGGGUUUUCGAUUGUUGACAGAGGACUCGUACGAGGAGCUCCAUUUCUCCUACAAUUCAGAGACAACAUAAUGUAAGGGAAACCCACCAUUCUUCUUCCUCUUCACCACCUUUGAAUUCUCUGGCCUCCGUGUAACCACCUUACCACCGUGACUUUUUGCCAAACGCUCUUUAUACUGUACUGAAUCCUGUGCUACAGUGCUUGACAUCACAUGCCCAUCCUCUUCCAAAAUAUGUAUGAGCUAUCCGUUAAUUCUUAGAUUCUCAAAAUGUCAAAAUGCAAAUUCUGACUUAUUGAACCUACACAUUAUGCUUGACA